GAGGCCUUCUGCGGCGGGGGAGGGAAGAGAGAGCCGCGACUAUUAUGGGAUGGCGAGGCCUUCCGCCACCGGAGGGGGGCAGCUUGCCAUGGAGACUACAGAAAUCUGGAAGAGAGAAGAGCUCUGCAGUGUUGGAGAAGGCUUGAGGAACUCAGGAUAAUUCCUUUGGCCAAUGUUGAGGACACCAGGUUGUAUGAAGAGACAGACUUUGGGAUAAUAACUGAAUACUGAGUGAAAAGUUGAGUUGGUUUCUUACCAAUUUCAAAGUAAAAGUUGAACCUGA
Lagopus leucura (white-tailed ptarmigan) is the source of this 283-nucleotide long non-coding RNA. RefSeq lists it as uncharacterized. The record is from RefSeq and is a predicted model, not a curated record. NCBI's taxonomy places the organism in Eukaryota, Metazoa, Chordata, Aves, Galliformes, Phasianidae. The transcript has 2 exons.